UAAAUCAAGAUCCCUAAGGGAGAAGCUCAAAUACUAUAACUUUAAAAGAGAUGGUCUGAAAAACAAUUCAAUGUCUUUCAGAAGUGAAAAAGAUGAAUCAAAGUACUUUAAAAAGGGGCAGAAGUUUUUAAAAAGGAAAAUACGUAAUUAUUAAUGUUCACAUGCCAGUUGAGCUAAAAUAUUUAUAAUUUAGGAAGUUAUUGGUGGUAUAAACUGAAAUCUGAAAUUAAGGAGUAGCUUUUAAGGUCUGUUAAAGUUUUUAGUGUGUUGCAAGAAAGAUAGUGGCCACAGCUGUGGGUGUCUUGCUGGGGCUGGAGUGUGGGCUGGGUCUGCUGGGCAACGCGGUGGCGCUGUGGACCUUCCUGUUCCGGGUCAGGGUGUGGAAGCCGUACGCUGUCUACCUGCUCAACCUGGCCCUGGCUGACCUGCUGUUGGCUGCGUGCCUGCCUUUCCUGGCCGCCUUCUACCUGAGCCUCCAGGCUUGGCAUCUGGGCCGUGUGGGCUGCUGGGCCCUGCACUUCCUGCUGGACCUCAGCCGCAGCGUGGGGAUGGCCUUCCUGGCCGCCGUGGCUUUGGACC
RNAcentral lists this long non-coding RNA (579 nucleotides) under Homo sapiens (human). Its description in RNAcentral is "non-protein coding lnc-GPR31-2:2". Lineage: Eukaryota; Metazoa; Chordata; Mammalia; Primates; Hominidae. The record is from RNAcentral.